RNAcentral lists this long non-coding RNA (490 nucleotides) under Homo sapiens (human). RNAcentral's name for it is "HSALNT0112301". The record is from RNAcentral. Lineage: Eukaryota; Metazoa; Chordata; Mammalia; Primates; Hominidae.
CCGCGGGCGCCCCCUGGUCGCGUGGAGGGCGAUGAGCGAACGACCCGGGACUUGUCUGAAUGGGACCCCAGCAAGGCACACGUGGUCUUCAAUGCGAUGGGCGCUUCCAGGGGACCCGGCGUCCCUUGGGUCCAGGAAGUCUUAUACUGUCUCCUCUCACGGCCCCGACAGAAACGGUUUCUGAGGAGUAGAAGUGUCCUAAGUGGAUUGGAAAUUACAAAUGCCGGAAAGAACCUAGGGAUGGAAAGCAGCCCUCGACUCAGCCCACCAGCACCCAGUUGAAAUAAACAGCCAUGUUGCUCACAGAAAGCCUGUUUGGUGAUCUCUUCACACGGACACAUGAAACAUUUGGUGCCAAAGACCCGGGUCAGUGGGACUCCUUUUGGAGACCAGUCCCCUGUCCUCACCCUCACUCCGUGAAGAGAUCCACCUACGACCUCAGGUCCUCAGACCAACCAGCCCAAGGAACAUCUCACCGAUUUUAAAUCAG